Molecule: long non-coding RNA, 18241 nt
Filed under: Gossypium barbadense (sea-island cotton)
Lineage: Eukaryota; Viridiplantae; Streptophyta; Magnoliopsida; Malvales; Malvaceae
Description: long non-coding RNA (GBAR_LNC006533)
Source: RNAcentral
AAAAAGAAAGAGUGUGUUCAUCUUCCUUACCUUCUUGCAAAGCCGAAACAAAAGAGGAAAGAGGAAGGAAUUUGUCUAGGGCAUUCGGCUAUCUUGGAGGUUAAAUAAGGUAGGAGUUCAUGUUAUUUCUAUUGAUUUUUAUGAGAAUCUAGUAGUAGUCAAGCUCUUAUUGUAACCCAUAUGUUGAUUUUUCUUUAGUUUUGGUGACAAAUUGUGCAUACGGUAUUAUUGGAUAAAUGCUAAAAGGAUGGUGUUUUGAUAUUUUGGAUUGAAAUAUUAGAAAGGGGAAAAUAUGAGCUACCUAAAUAGAUAUAUGUGAAUUUAAAAGAUGGUAUAAACAAAUGUGGAGUUUUGCUAGUUUAGGAUUAUUCGGCCAAGUGUUUAUGUGGUGGAAAUUAAGUGUUAAAUGGAAUGAAAAUGAUAUUAUAUGGGGGUAUGUAUAUUCGGCCAUAUGAGUAAAUAUAUAGAUGAUGUUAAAUUUGAUUAUGUAUAAUGGGCCAUAUAGAGUACACAUUGUGAUAUUAACUUUAAUUCUCUAUAAUUGAUCAAGUGGGUGAUAUUGGUUUAUAUGGCUGAAUUUGAUUUAUGAAUAUGUACCUUGAAAUAAAAUAUAUCAUCGACUAUGUUACUUUGGAAGUAAGAAUGCAUUCGGCCUUGAGACAAUUUAUAAGUAUUAGUUAAUGUUCUAAUGUUUUGAACAAGAAUGGUUGUAAGAUGAAACGAAAAUUAUUAAAAUAUAUAUGAGUAAUUAACAAGGGUGGUUGCCGUGUAUAUAAUAUUUAUGUGUGUUUUAUUGAAAUAUUUAUUGGGUUAAUUUUAGUAAUUGGAUCUUAGGUGAUCAAUAGCUGAAUGGCUUAAAGUUAGUAAAAAGCAUAAGGUGAAUAAAAAUAAAAUGUUGCCGUAUGCUUCUUUUGAUAUGAAACUAUUAAUGUUAUGGGAUAUAAAUAACUAGCAAGGUAAUUAAACUAGUUGAUUUAUUUAUUUAAGCUCAAGAACCUAAAGGAGAGGCGUCCAACAAGGGGAAAUCGAAGGUCAUCGAGUAGCCGACUUGGAAUUAUUUUACCCAACAUAAAGUAAGUCAUUAAGCAUAUAGUUUGUAUUAAUUUAAAUGGUCAUAACGUCUAUGUAAUGAUGCUGAAUGGAAUGAUAAAUAUAUAUAUACAUGUAUGUAUGUGGUGAUGAAAGUGUUGAAUGAAAAGAAAAGAGGUGAGAUGUAUUGAGUUGUUGAUCUCGGCACUAAGUGUGCGGGUAUAAACAUUUAUGAUCAUGAGAUUGGCGCUAAGUGUGCGGGUUUAAAUUGUACAGCACUAAGUGUGCGAGUUUGAUUAUAUAGCACUAAGUGUGCGAGUUGAUUAUAUAGCACUGAGUGUGCGGACUUAAUAUAUACUUUUGAAUCACUAUGGACACUAAGUGUGCGACAUUAUUAAGUUGAUCACAGACAGCGGAUCGGGUAAGUACCUUGAGUUCGUGACUAAUAGGCGCUAUGUUUAUAUUUGAAGUUGAGCUUGGUAAGUUUGAACCUAUGUGACAAUUAUAAUUGAAGUCACGUACAUAAGAUUUAUCGUGGAAUAGGUGAAAGGUCGUUUAGUUGUAUGAUGGUAACGAAAAUAAAAUGAUGUAUGAAAAUGCCUCAAAUAUCCUAUUGACUAGUAUAUGGAAUGUGAAUGCAUGACUUGGUAGGAGAUUGAACCGAUAGAUUUAAGGAACUAUGGUAUGGUUCGGUAUGGAUGGAGUAACUAGCCUCGUUCCAUUUUGUUUCCUCUUGUGAUAAUGUUAUUAAUGGAUGGUAGUGCAUUGCUUAUGACUUACUGAGUUAUAUACUCACUCGGUGUUUCCUUGUCACCUAUUUUAGGUUUCUUGGACUCGUCUCUUUUUGCGUGAUCGGGCCGUCAUCAGAGUCAUCACACCGGCUAGCAACUUUUGGUAUCUUCUUUUUAGUCGGUCUAGGAGAACAUUUCGGCAUGUAUAGGCUAAUAUGUUUUGUUGAAAUUUGGUAUGUAAACUUUUAGCCAUGCGAAAAUGGCAUAAAUGUUCGGUUGGAUUUGGUUUUAUAACGUUAGGUCGUAAGUCUUGGUAAUUCGAUUUUUAUGCCAUAUGUCAUGGCUGAUUAAUUUUGGUGUUAAGAUUCAUGAUAUGGCAAUAGUGUAGUAGGGAGAUGUUUGACAAUGAUUAGCCUUUGGUAUGGCUAGUCAUGAUUAUAAUUUUGUGAUAUGUAUGAUGAAUUACUAGUUAGAUCAAUGAGAAAUCACGAAAUGGGCAUAGUUGCUUCAGUAACAGAUGCUGGCAGCAGCAGUGACGUGGGAUUGAAAAAUUACAAAAAUUAGUAGGAAUGGAAUUAAAUAGUGAAUAAAUUAUGUAAUCGAAGCUCGAUGAGUCUAUUUUCAUAUAGAAGUAACGAAACGAUCAUAUAGACAGUAUGUUAAGAGAUAUUCAGGUUCUCGUGAGACAGGGCCAGAACGGUUUCUGGGUUCCCUGUUCCGACUUUGGAAAUUCAUUAUAAAUUAACCAAAGAUAAUUAGGAGUCAUGCGAUAUAUGUAUAGAUUCCUCUCUGAGUCUAGUUUCUAUAGAAACAAACGGCAUCAGUAUUGAAGCUCUGUGCAGGGAGUUAUCCAAAUCGUAAUGCAUGAAGGUCAGUGUAGUCGUACCCUGUAAUAGGGGAGAAUUUAACUAAUAAAUGUACUAAUUGGCCUGACCAAAAAUUCUACAAAAAUUCUACCAUAUAGGUUUGUGAGUCUAGUUCUAGGGAAAAUUUACGGAACUGGAUUUUGAGUUUCAGAACUCAAGAUAUGAUUUUUAAAGAGACUAGUACGCAGAUUGGCAGCUUGUCUGGGAAAUGUCAAAUAAGUGGUUUGAAGUCUGUUAACACCUCGUGUUCGACUCCGGCGACGGUCUCGGGUUCGGGGUGUUACAAUUUUAUUGGUAUCAGAGCUAUGGUUUAGUCGGUUCUAGGGCUACCAUAGCACGUAUGAGUCUAGCUAUACAUGCCUUAAUGUUAAUGUUUAAAUGUGUGAUGACUUCUGACGGUUAAAAUUUUUGUUUUGAUUAGUAAAUGGAUCCCGGUGUAGAGAGAACCUUGGCGGAUGACGUUGAAAGUGUAGCGGCUGCUCCUGCACAAGGGACGCCGCCUGUUGAACCUCAGUCAUCUGCGAAUAAUCAAGGUGAGGGGGCUAAACAAGCCUUCUUUACCAUGAUGAAUGAGUGGGUCGCGCAAUAUGCCCGAACCAAUCCGGCUAUCCAACAAUUCCCGAAUUUGAAUAAUCCACCCCAAGAGCCCGUAAUGCCAUCAGUCACUGAUCCUAUGAGGCUGAGUAAGCCACCUGUAGACUUGAUUAGGAAGCGCGGGGCUGAGGAGUUCAGGGCCAUAGUUACUGAUGAUGCUGAAAGGGCCGAGUUCUGGCUUGAUAACACCAUUCGGGUGUUUGAUAAACUGUCAUGCACACCCGAUGAAUGUCUAAAGUGUGCUAUAUCCUUGUUGCGGGACUCAGCCUACUAUUGGUGGAGGACCCUGAUUUCCAUAGUCCUAAACGAACGAGUUACUUGGGACUUCUUUCAAACGGAAUUCCGAAAGAAAUAUAUUAGUCAACGGUUCAUUGAUCAAAAGCGCAAGGAAUUAUUGGAACUCAAGCAAGGCCGUAUGACAGUAUCUGAAUACGAACAUGAAUUCGUAAGACUCAGUAGGUAUGCCCGGGAAUGUGUAGCUGAUGAGGUUGCUAUGUGCAAAAGAUUCGAAGAAGGAUUGAAUGAAGAUUUAAAGCUACUAGUGGGUAUUUUGGAGAUAAAAGAAUUCGUGACACUAGUCGAACGGGCCUGCAAGGCGGAAGAACUUGGAAAGGAGAAGAAGAAGGCUGAAUUUGAAGCUAGAGACUAUCGUAAAAGAUCGACGGGUAAAGCUCCGUUCUCAGCUGUAAAGAAGUUCAGGGAGGACACUAAUAAGUCGAGGACGACUGCGGGAAUUUCCAUCAGAGCACGACCAUCGACGGACUCCCGAGCUACUUCGGUAGCUAGUGUGGGCAAUAAUCGUCAAGAGAAACCUGAAUGUCCCCAAUGCGGAAGACGACACUUAGGUGAAUGUUGGGGUAAGUCUACUAACAGGGCCUGUUACGGAUGCGGUUCGAAGGACCACUUUAUUAGAGAUUGCACGGAGCUUGAUGAGAAGAAUAAGAUUCAAGGUGCAAGACCUAGUGGAGUGACAACUAGAGGUAGACCACCGAGAAUUUUAGGAGGUAGGGGUGGUAGUCAGAGAGGGGCCUCUGAUACGGCUGUUCGAGCCGAGAACCGUACUCCUGCUAGAGCAUAUGCCAUUCGCGCACGAGAGGAGGCAUCCUCCCCUGACGUCAUCACUGGUACCUUCACUCUCUUUGAUACUAAUGUGAUUGCAUUGAUUGACCCUGGCUCUACUCAUUCAUAUGUAUGUGAAACCUUAGCAUCCAGUAAGACUCUACCUGUUGAGUCCACUAAGUUCGUAAUUCGAGUGUCAAACCCUUUGGGUCAAUACGUACUUGUUGAUAAAGUGUGUAAGAGAUGUCCUCUAAUAAUCCGAGAAUCCUGUUUUCCGGCCGAUUUGAUGCUUUUGCCGUUUGACGAAUUUGAUGUUAUUCUUGGUUUGGAUUGGUUGACCGCGCAUGAUGCGGUUGUGAAUUGAAAAAGAAAGACUAUUGAUUUGAGGUGCGCAAAUAACGAGAUAAUCCGAGUUGAGUCUACGGACUUAAGGGGGUUACCAGCUGUAAUAUCAGCAAUGUUGGCCCAGAAAUAUGUAAGAAAAGGGUGCGAAGCAUACCUUGCGUAUGUACUUGAUGACAAAGAAUUAGAAAAGAAACCCGAAUCUGUGCCGGUGGUUUGUGAAUACCCGGAUGUUUUUCCUGAAGAGUUACCGGGUUUGCCACCUGUUCGGGAGAUAGAGUUUGGUAUUGAGCUUGUACCUGGAACUACGCCAAUUUCGAUAGCUCCGUAUCGUAUGGCACUAACCGAGUUAAAGGAAUUGAAAGCUCAAUUGCAAGAGUUGACGGAUAGAGGUUUCGCUCGACCAAGUUUCUCACCUUGGGGUGCACCAGUAUUGUUCGUGAAAAAGAAGGACGGAACCAUGAGGUUGUGCAUUGACUAUCGUCAACUGAAUAAAGUGACGAUAAAGAAUAAAUAUCCAUUACCGCGUAUUGAUGAUUUGUUUGAUCAACUAAAGGGAGCCUCAGUGUUUUCAAAGAUAGAUUUGAGAUCGGGUUAUUAUCAGUUGCGGAUUCGAGAUUCGGACGUACCCAAAACUGCUUUCAGAACGAGGUACGGUCACUACGAGUUCUUAGUGAUGCCGUUCGGGCUCACUAAUGCCCCUGCGAUAUUUAUGGAUUUGAUGAAUCGGAUCUUCAGACAGUAUUUAAACCGGUUCGUAGUUGUGUUCAUUGAUGACAUCUUAGUCUAUUCAGGAGAUGAGACCGAACAUGCUGAGCACCUGAGAUUAGUGUUGCAAAUUUUGCGGGAUAAGAAGUUAUAUGCUAAGUUCAGUAAGUGUGAGUUCUGGUUAAGAGAGGUUAGUUUCUUGGGUCAUGUGGUAUCCGCAUCGGGUAUUCGAGUUGACCCGAGCAAAAUUUCAGCCAUACUUAACUGGAAGCCUCCAAGAAAUGUUACCGAAGUUCGGAGCUUCCUGGGGCUCGCCGAUUAUUACCGACGAUUUUUAAAAGGUUUCUCGAUGAUAGCCACACCAAUGACGAAGCUACUUCAAAAGGAUGCUAAGUUCGAAUGGACGGAGAAAUGUCAGAAAAGCUUCGAUCAACUGAAAACUCAUUUAACUGAAGCUCCAAUUUUGGUGUUAAGAUUCAUGAUAUGGCAAUAGUGUAGUAGGGAGAUGUUUGACAAUGAUUAGCCUUUGGUAUGGCUAGUCGUGAUUAUAAUUUUGUGAUAUGUAUGAUGAAUUACUAGUUAGAUCAAUGAGAAAUCACGAAAUGGGCAUAGUUGCUUCAGUAACAGAUGCUGGCAGCAGCAGUGACGUGGGAUUGAAAAAUUACAAAAAUUAGUAGGAAUGGAAUUAAAUAGUGAAUAAAUUAUGUAAUCGAAUCUCGAUGAGUCUAAUUUCAUAUAGAAGUAACGAAACGAUCAUAUGGACAGUAUGUUAAGAGAUAUUCAGGUUCUCGUGAGACAGGGCCAGAACGGUUUCUAGGUUCCCUGUUCCGACUUUGGAAAUUCAUUAUAAAUUAACCAGAGAUAAUUAGGAGUCAUGCGAUAUAUGUAUAGAUUCCUCUCUGAGUCUAGUUUCUAUAGAAACAAACGGCAUCAGUAUUGAAGCUCUGUGCAGGGAGUUAUCCAAAUCGUAACGCAUGAAGGUCAGUGUAGUCGCACCCUGUAAUAGGGGAGAAUUUAACUAAUAAACUGUACUAAUUGGCCUGACCAAAAAUUCUACAAAAAUUCUACCAUAUAGGUUUGUGAGUCUAGUUCCAGGGAAAAUUUACGGAACUGGAUUUCGAGUUUCAGAACUCAAGAUAUGAUUUUUAAAGCGACUAGUACGCAGAUUGGCAGCUUGUCUGGGAAAUGUCAAAUAAGUGGUUUGAAGUCUGUUAACACCUCGUGUUCGACUCCGGCGACGGUCUCGGGUUCGGGGUGUUACACAUUGGGUAUGUUGAUGCUGAUUUUUCUGGAGACCUUGUUAGAAGAAGAUCUCUCACAGGUUAUGUUUUUACAAUCGGAGGUUGUGCAAUUAGUUGGAAAGUCGCUUUGCAAACUACAGUCGUUUUGUCUACCACUGAAGCUGAGUACAUGGCAAUUACUGAGGCUUGUAAAGAAGCUAUCUGGUUGAAGGGACUCUUUAGUAAACUCAAUAAAGACCUUCAAAUCACUACAGUAUUUUGUGACAGUCAGAGUUCAAUCUUCCUUACAAAAGAUCAAAUGUUUCAUGAGAGAACAAAACAAAUUAUGUUCGGUAUCAUUUUCGGUAUCAUUUUGUUCGUGAUAUUAUUGCUCAUGGAGAUAUUGUUGUGAGCAAAAUUAGUACUCAUGAAAAUCCUACAGAUAUGAUGACUAAGUCACUUCCUAUAACCAAGUUUGAGCAUUACUUAGACUUUGGUUGGUGUCCAUUGUUGAAGUUAAACCCUUAAGAGGUUUUAUGGAAGAGGUGGAGAACUUGUUCGUUGAGAGUUCGCGAUGAAGAACUUGUUCAUUGAGAAUCAUGUCAAGGUGGAGAUUGUUAGAUUUAAAUGACCCGAAUCAUUAUUUAAAUAAAAUACAAUGGUAAAAUAAAAUAAAAGUAAAAUCCAUAUAGAACUACACUUCUUUUAUUUUAUUUUAGAAUAAGGUUUUUUAAACCUUAUUAAACUCCAUCUAUUUUAUAUUGAUUAGAAUAAGGUGUUUCAGUCUUACUAGAAUAUGGCUUUACAAGCCUAUAAAUAGACAUAAUCUAUUCUUCUUGUAAUGAUUCGAAUUCGACAUAGUGAAUUUUUUUCCCCUCUGCCUGUGAUUUUUUUCCCGAAAGGGUUUCCACGUAAAAAUCUGUGUGUUCUUUAUUUUAUUUUGUUUUAUUUUAUUUUUCACAAAAAUUGAGAGAGCAAAAAAAAAUAGUGAAUUUAAGUGGGUAUUAAUAAUGUGUGAGAGAGAUGAGAUUGAAUUGAAAAAAAAAUGAAAUGGGAGGGGUUAUAGGAAAAUAAAAUUUGACUGUUUGAGGGUGUCUAACAACUAAUUAAAUAGUUGUUAUUUUUUAUUGUUAGGGGAAAAACGCUUCCAGCUAGAAGUAUUUUCAAAUGACUUAGCAGAAAGCAAUUCUAACUAGAAGCAUUUUCCAUACAACAUGCUGAAAACGCUUCCAAUUGAAAGUAUUUUCUUGCAAAUUGGAAGCGUUUUCCAAAAAAUAGCUUAUUUCGAUAAUUUUUUUCCAAAAUCGGUCUAUUCAAGUAAUAUUUUUUUGACAUUUAUUGAUAAAUUAAUCUUUUAAUUGACCAAAGUUAAUAUAAUUUUCCCAAGAUUCAAAAAGAAAAUUAUUUAAAAAAAGGCGGAGGAGAUUGUUUUACAAUGGUAAAAUGGGCAUUGUAUAUAAUUUACCUCCUGACCGUCAUUAAGACCUUUUCCUUCCUCGUCUCAUCCACGAUUUAUCUGCUUUUUCUUCUUUCAGAGGCAUUCCUUCAGGUAAAUCUCAAAAAUCAAGUUUCCCUUUUUUAAACUUAUUUAAUCAUAUACAAAAUUUCACUUCUCUAUAUAUAUUUUGUAAAAUUUAUUUUUAGAUCUGUUUCUUUUUCUUCCUAUUUUUUUUGCUGUUAAGAACAAUUCUGUUUUUAAGUCAAAUUUCAAAGUGUCUAUUCAAUAGUUAUGAUUAGUUUUUAGCUGUAACACUUGAAUUUCCCUUCUGGGUAUUUCAUUCUUAUUUGUUACACCUUAAUUAAUCCCUGAUAUUUCGGAUCUUCUUUAUAACUCUCUGAAUCUGAUAUAUAUAAAUAUAAAUUAUAAUAUAUUUUACGCAGACAUAUAAAUGCUAAAUUUAUUACAAUUUUACCUCCAUAGCAACCUGUGAUCACUGAUUUUUAAGGUCUGGGCCUAGAUCUGUGUUUCUAUUUAUGUUUUCCAUUUUGGGUUUGACCUUUUUUUUUUGUUUGGAUGCUGUGAAAAUGAAGGAAACUAAAGGGGGAAAAAAUAUAAAUUGUCUGUUUCUAUAUCUUAAUUCAAUCUUUUUUCUUAGAUCUGGUUGUUGACUUCUUUUUUGUAAUUAAUUAUUUGAAUGUUAGAUUUUUGAGGAAGAUGAAUCACUACAAUCUUCAGCAGAAUCCCGUUGCCGUUUCCGCUUACGAGGAGAUGGGAGGGUUUAUCUCUUCAAUAUCGGAGCAUCAUAGGGCCGGCCCCGUUGUUUGCCCUAAGCCUCGGCGAAUUGGGGUUCUCACCAAUAACCCUAUCAAGCCCUUUAGAUUGCAUAUGAGGUAUAAUUUUUCUUUUCUCUUUCCUUUGUGUUUUUCCCCCUUUUCUCUAAUUGGACUUUUGGUUGAUUUGAUUUGCUUGCUUUUAUUAAUUUAGUUUUUUGGUUUUCAAUUCCAGUCACCAAGCCGAUGUAAGUGAAUCGAAAGCCAGUGCAGAACUUCUAGAUAUCAUCCUCAACAAGGUAAUCACUGAAUCUCAAGUAUUAUAAAAAAGUGAAAAUACUAAUGUUAUAUACAUAUUGCUUUUUGAUAGUUGCUAUGGUUCUUAAAAGUAUUUGCGUCUUGCACUUCUAUCCGGAUAAACGACUAUACGAAAACGCUUCUAAAAGUCGGAUAUAUAUUUUCUUCCAGUUUGGAGUAAUAUAGGAGUUUUGCAUUUUUGAGGUUUGAGUUAUGUGUGUUAAUGUUUUUGUUUCUAGGAUGGACUUGUUUUAACGUGUUGUUUUGUUUCGGUUUUUGUAGGGUGAUUUAUGGGCAGAGCAAUCUGCAGCACAGGUAGCAUCUUCACCCCCAUUUUUUUGUGGUUCGCCCCCAAGUAGGGCCACGAACCCAGUUGUGCAAGAUGCUCGAUUUGGUGAUGAAAGAGUUGCAGCCCUUUCAGCAUCGCAAAGUCCAUCUCCGUCGCAAUCGGCACAUAAAGGGGGAUGUGUUAGGAUGUCGUUUGGGCUAAAACCAGCGGCAAUUAGAGUAGAAGGAUUUGAUUGCCUUAACAGGGAUAACCAAAAUUCCAGAAUCCCGGCUAUGGCUUAGAACUAGAGUGUACAUAAAAGGCCACCGUCCGGGUGAACAAAGCAGGGAUGAAUUAGGGAAAUAUGGAUUAUUUUUGGGGAGAAAGAGAUUGACUUGUGUGUAGUAGUGUAUAUAUGAUGUGGUUUUUGGUCUGGUAAAAUCUAAUAGAUUGCUGGGAUGGAAGGGAAGGCAAAUGUGAAAGGAUUGGAUUUUCAGGGGAUUGAGCAAAUGAUGAUGAAUUAGGGGAUUAAGUUUUGAAUGAUUGAUGGAGCAUUUUUGUAAUAUAAAUGAUUUGAUAUUUUGAUUUUGUAAAUCACCAUGGAGAAGAGCAGGGGAAGUUGUGUAUAGAUCCUAUUGGUGAUUGAAUUUUGUUCUGUAAUUUAUGAUUCAAUAAUUGUCAAUUUUUCUUCUUAUGACAUAUUGAGCAUCAUAUUUAUGUUUUAUCAUAUGAUAGCAACCGACAUGGUUCCUGAUGAUGGUCAUUGCAGGCACAUCCCCUCUAUAAAUCCCAUUGGGAGUGCAAUUUCCAUUUGCUUCAUGACUGGUUUUGACCUUAGCAGCUACACAAGAACCCAUUGCAAAACCUUCCGAAUCCCUUAUAGCAGCAGCUAUGAUUGAACAUGAUUUUUUGUGAGUCACUUUUUAGUUUAAUUAUACUUUUGAAAUUUAGUGCUUUUGCUUUUAAUUUUUUUAAAUUACUCAUUUUAUUUUUUAAAAUUUAAUAAUUAAAAUUCAGUUAAUAAGGGGGUUAAGGAAUUUCAUUAAAUUAGAUAAUAUGCCGUUUUAUUUUAAAAAUGGUUCAUUUGGCUGGUUGAAAGACGCGUAGAAAUCAUGUAAGCAAAAAAAAUAAAUAAAAAAUAAUAAACUUUAAUCUCUUUCGUUGAAAGAGUCUGAAGAAACUUACCAUCUUUAAUUUAGAAUUGAAACCUUAUAACUCUAUAUUUAAUAUUGUUUUUUUUUUUUUUGCUUAUUUAUGUUUGCAAUAUUAGAUACAUGAGUAUUUUUAAAAUGUUAUAUAUCUCACAUUCUUUUAGUGAUAUUUUUAAUUGAUUUUCAAUUAUUAAAUUCCUAGAAUUAAUAUUUGUUAGAGAUUGGCCUAUAUAAAUAUCGAAAUAGAAAAUGUAUAGAAAAUUGAACACAUAAAUAUUUACGUGGAAAACCCUCAUUUAAGAGGAUAAAAGUCACGAGCAAAGAAGGCUUCGACUUUUUACUAGAUGAGUAAACAAACGAGGGUACAAGAUGAAGAAAAUAAAUCUAAAUGUAUUAAACGUACAAACUCAAAUCUCGAAAACAAAGCCCUAACUUGGGAAUAAAAUUCUCUCCAUAGUUACCACGAAAACCCUCAUUAAAACUCAUUUGCAACUACAUAUUGUUGCCCCCAAAAGAAAAGUUCUAUAGUACUACAUCUUUAUUUGUCUUUCUAAAUUAGGGAUACAAUGACCCCUUUAAAUAGACUAAGUUUAAAAAGUUGAAAUGACUAAAAUAUCCCUAAAGUAAUUAAAGUUCGACUAGGAAAAUAUAACAGAGUUUAACUAAGAGAAGAAACUUGGUAUUUGUGGGAAACAUGUCGCCACGUCACAACGUCAUCAUUCGCGUUGUCACGAAGUCGUUCGUCAUCACGACGUUGGGAAGCUUCUCAUCGUGACGUCAUCAGCUGAAAUUGGUAAGUGCCUGCAAGCUAUCCGAUAAAUACGAGACACACCCUACAAACCUCCACCUUAACUCGUAUUUAACGUACCUUCUUCUCCAAGCCCUGCCACAUGUAGAACUCGAUCUUUGCAGAAUGUCAACCAAGCCUAAACCGUUCUCGAACUUGGAAACCGAAAGACUCCCUAGUCUUCAAAUCAAGGUUGUAUAAUGCAACCAAUGCCAAUGAUACCCGAACGGAUGUGUGCUUCACAACAAGAGAGAAAGCAUCGAGGAAAUCAACUCCCUCCACUUGACCGUCACCCUUUGCGACCAACCUUGCGUUAAACACUUUUCUUUAUUCUAAACUGCUACAAUAUGAAAUCUAUGAUUUCAUCAAAAUUUUCAAUAUCGAAAUUCGUUGUUAUUAUACUUGAAUGGGUCGAUUACAAGAACAUAACCUAGCUCUGAUACUAGUUUGUUGAGGAUCGACCUGUAUAAACAACGAACAAAAUUCUAAUUUUAUGUAUGAUUUAGUGGUUAAAAGAUAUUGAUUUAAUUUAGAUUUAAAGAAUUAGGUAAAUUUUUAUUUAGAUAAUACUCUUUGAACGGAGGGUGUGCGUAUAUAGUGUGAGUAUAUAUUUUUUUUGCAAUAGUUUAUAAUAUUGGUAAUAAUAAUAUUUUAUUAUGUAAAAAAAUUAUAAUUAUUUAUCAAAUAAUUGUAUUGUAAAGAUUAAAUUUUUGUAUAUAAAGUUAUAUUAUAAAACAAACAUAACAUUAUAAAAGGAUAUCUCAUUAAAAUAUAUAUCCUUAUGAAAUGAUAUAUUUGGAUGUUUAUAUAAACCGCUUUUUUAUUAAUAUUUUUAUUAUUUUACUUGAAGUGUUGAUGUUUAUAUAAACUGUUUUUUUAUUAAUAUUUUUAUUAUUUUACUUAAAGUGCUGAUGUAAUUUAAAAAUAUUUUAAAGUUUUAAAAAAAAUGUUUUACAUGUUUUAAACCAUUAUUAUAUUUCUUAUUUUACUUUCCCUAUUUAAUUUUUCUAAUAUAUUCCUUCCACGUGUGUAUCAACCUAACUGUAUAGUAUAAAUAUAAGAAAAACAAAAACAAAAAUUCACUCACCACUACAACCACACCCAUAAGCAGCUUUAGACAAUUUUGACUCUUACAAGUUCGUGAAAGCAUAAUUUAGAAGGGAUUUAUAUAAAUUGUUGGAAAAUAAACACAACGAUAAUUACAUAUUAUUAUUUACUAUCAUAAUAGGUUAGUCCAAAUUUAAAAGUGAUUUAAUUUGAUUACGGUUUAUUGUGCUUUAAUUAUUAAAUAAAAUAUAGAUCAAAUAUGUGUAGAUAUUCUAGUAACUAAUUUUUAAUUGAUGAUGGGCUGAUUAGAGAUUAGGGCUAAUAUGCCAAAGUUAUAUAUAUAUGUGUAGGGUUAUGGUCUCCAAAUUACAUAUAAAGUAAUUUUUCUAAUAUCCCAUCUUUAGAAAAGGUGAGUCACCUUCUCUAAUUACUUGUGUGCUAAUUUGGAAGACCAAAACCCUAAGAUCCGUAGAUUUCAAGAAAUCGAUGAAUUCAGGUACGCUUUCGCAUCUAGUUUUGUUCUUAAUUUAUUCUUGAUAAUUUGACAUGACGAAUCUUGCUUUACAGUUCUAAUUUUAUAUUAAAUAUUAUUUAUGGUUCUAACAAGUGGUAUCAGAGCUUCGUCAUGUCAUGUUGAAUUAUUGGGAAUGAAUUGAUUAUUUAUUAUUUUUGGAUUGAUUCGUUUUUCUUUUUUUAAUUUUAUGGAUUUGAUAUUUUAAUUAUAUACUAUGUUGAAUCUUUAAAUUCUUAAUAAAAUUUUUGAGUUUGGAUUCUUUAAAUAAAGUUUUAGGAUUUUAUAAAUAUAAUCUAGUUUAAUAUUUGAAUAUAUUAUUCGAAAGACAAAGGUUUAUUUAUUUAUUUAUAAUUAAAUGAUAAAGUUUGAUUUGUGGGAUUUCUUUCUCUUCUCUUCGCACAAUUAUUUUAUAAAUUUUGGUUAAAGUCAUUAUUAGAUUAAAGUUACAGACUUAUAACUUUUUGUAAUUGAAGAAUUUCAAUUGGGUUGUAUAAUUGGUUUUGAAUGUUAAUUCGCUUGAUAAUCGAAUGAAUGAAUGUUGUUAAGAUAUUUUUUUUCACACUAUUUAUUUUAAAUUUUCUGUUUGUGGUUGAAUGUAUAUGGAAUUAUCAUAUUUUGUCUUUAUUCAUAAUGAAUUAUAUUCACGAUUGAAUUCAAUUCAUAUAUACGAAUGAUUAUUUUUGGUUUCUGUUAUAAUUAUUUUAUAUAAGUUUUACUCAUUAUGGAACUGACUAAAAUUAAAACAUUUGGGUUUUUUUUAUACGGUGGCUAUGAAUUUUCAUAAGUAGUUGCGCAUAUGAAGGCCUUUAUACAAAUUGAGAUUUUUUUUUUAUAUUUGGUAGUUAUGGAUUUUUUUAAGUGUUUGUGCGUAUAAAGAAGUUUUAUGAUAAUGUCUUUAGUCAUGAAUAUAAAUUUGAGUUUACAUUAAAUAUGUAAGGCAAGUCAAUAUUAUUUUUCUAUUAUUAAAUCGUGUAUAUGCAUAUAUUAUAUGCAUAGCAAUGAUUUUGAGGAUUAAUACAUGAUCAUAAUUUGUGUGGAUAGGUGUUUAUAACCAUUAUUCAAUAAGAUAUCUUUUAUAGUUUAAUUUGUGACAUUAAGUUUUGAUGGAUAUCAUUGAAGUUGUUAAACUUUUUUUCUUGUUAUGGUUAUAUAUUCAAAUUUAUGUGUGCUUUGAUGCAAAUUCAUGUAAACUAUAUACAUGUUUAAAUAAUUUGGUUUUAAGUUUGGUUCUACAACAUUAGGUUCUGGCAUAUUAUGGUUCCAAUAUUUAGUUAAAUUAUGUUGAUAUGGUCUACAAUAUGAACUAUGGGAUAUAUCAACUAUUAUAAUUUUGUUUUUUAGAUUUAUUAGCUUGAAUGUAUUUUUCAAGUAUUCAUGCAAAUCUCUAUUUAAUCAUUAAUACAAUUUUGGAUUUACAUGGUAUAAGCAUGUAUAAGUUUUUUUAUCUGAUUUUGAAUACAUGUAUAUGUGUGAGUUACUUUGGUGUUUUUUUCUAUGCUAAAAGAGAGAGCCACAUUCUCAAGAUUACUUGUAUGCUAAUUUAGAAGAUCAAAACCCCGAGAUCCGUAAAUUUCAAGAAAUCGAUAAAUUCAAGAAUGCUUCCGCAUCUAAUUUUGUUCUUUUAAUUUAUUCUUGAUGAUUUGGCAUGACAGAUUUUAAUUUACAAUUCUAAUUUAUAUUAAAUAUUAUUUACUGUUCUAAUAUAAAUACCAUUGAGUAUUUUGCAAAUAACAUAAAAUUCUUAUAUUUUCACCCAACACAAAUUUAACAUCUUUUUUCAUUCGAAUUUAACACUAUAUUUUAUAUGAGAGAAAAAAUUGGGAUUUAUAUAAAUAUACAAUAUUAUGAGUUAUAAAAGUAUAAAAAGAAAACAAAUGCAAUUAUUGGUAGGUCUACAUUUAUGGUCCCGAAAAUAAAUUUAUAGGAGCCUUAAAAACUUCUCAUGUAUCCUUAGGGUAAAUAUGAGACCACUCAUUUUCUUACUACUAUUAUUUUAUUUUUUCUCAGUAUUCCAUUGGAUGGAUUUAUUCUGGUUGUUUCUUCUCAAAUAUAUAAGAUAUUUCAGUAACCUGCGAAAUAUUUUCUUUUUCUAAUUUGAUAUAUAUUUUUCCUUACAUAUGAGAGUAGGGUUAGUUUAAUAAUAUUUUUUAAAAGUGUAGUUGAAUUAAAAAGUAGUUUUGAGUUAAAGUUAAAAUUCUGUUCCUAUUUUUGGUAAGAAAAGUAUUUUUUUAAAGGAUAUUUUAUCUCAAAAAUACUUUUAAAAAACUUAAAAGUAUCUUGUUUAGAAAUAUUUUUAUUUUAAAAAAUAUUUUUUAUCUUUAAAAAAUACUUUUGAGAAGCAAUGUUAAACUUACCUUAAGACGUAAAUAAAAAAUUUUGAUGAUUGAGAAUAUUUUAAUGUGUAUUUUAAAAUUUUAGAUAAUUACCAUUUAACAGAAUAAAUACUUUAAUUUUUUUUAAAAAAAACACAUCUUAAAAUGAAAAAAAAAGAAAAAAAAAGAAGACUUUUAUUGUUCUUUUCUUUAUCUUUUAUGUAUUGCUUCUCUAAUCUUAACAUUUUUAGGCUAAACAUGGUAGAGAAAUAAUUAUGAAUUUUGUUAACAUCAGUUAUAAUGUUAUUUGCGACUUAAGAAAAGGCCAAAAGUCGACAAAAUAUUAUAAUUUACUUCACAUGUAUAUAUUUACAUAUUUUUGAGUAAAUUACAAUACUGAAAAACAUUGAAUUAAGUGAAAAAUUUCAAAUAAUCUUUAUGUAAUAUGCCAACCUCGUUUAAAAGAGAUUGAUUUAAGAAAAUCUCUUUUAUUAUAUUUUAUAAUAAAUUAUUUAAUUAGAAUAAGAUUUUUCAUAUUUAUUUCGAUCACAUUUACUCUUUUACAAAUUAUUAUAAUGCCUAUUUAAAUGUAUUUUCGAGUUUUUUUAGAGGAGUUGAGAGAGUAUUUAUUCUGUUUAUGUUACAAAUCUAUUUGAGUAUAAAUUCUUUGUAAGUAAUUUGUUUUUACUGAUUAAUUUAUAACUAAAUCUUUUGUGAAAUUUUAAUGUGAGAGUAAGUUGAAUUUAAAUUAUUAUCUUAUUAUUUAAGUAAGAUCUUAUAAAUGGAGAAAUUUUUUAAACCGUGCCAAUAAAUUUUUAAUGUCAAUUUUUGAGCAAAACCUUAUAGAUGGUAAAAUUUUUUGAAUUACGUUAGUGUCAUUUUUAUAUUUUCUAUUCCUAAUUACUUAUUCGAAUUGCAAUUUAACCAAUAUUUAAACUAAUAUCUGAUAGGCAAAUUUCUUUUUAGAGUUGUAUUCCAAUUAUUGGCGCACUUCGACUGAGAGGGAGAGGGAACAAUUCUUAUCUGAAUUUCUCCAUCUUUUGGUUCCACCACAAAUGUAGCUAUCCUUAAUAUUAGGUUUUCUUUUUCUUUUUUAUAGAAAAGAGAACGAAAAUUAUAGUCCACUAAUUAAGCACCAAUUAUAAAACAAAAAUUCCUAACCCUUUUGAGUUACAAAUUUUGAAAUGAAAUUGAGUUUAAGAACAUAGAGCUACUAAUAUUAUUCAAUAUUAUAAUUAAUAUGCAUCAUUAUGGUUUUCCUUUUCCAUGUUGGGUUAAAAACUAAUAAAGAUAAUCAUAAUUAUUAUUUUUAAAAUAAUAAUAAAUUCAAUUCUUAAUAUUUAUUCUUUUUUAUUAUUUUAGUUGUUUUUUUUUUUGAUAUUUUACCAUCCAAUCUUGAAAAUUAGUUAAAUUGCUCUUUUUAGAUGGAAAAAGUGACUAGAUUUUUUAAAUUUAAAUGGCAUUGAUGCAAUAGUUGCGAGAUGUAAUUUAUAAAAUUAAAAAAAAUAUUUUAAAAAAAAUCAUAAUUUUUUUAAAAAAAUUAUCCACAUAAACAAUAAUAUAUAUAUAAACUGUCAUACAGAUUGUUACAUAGUGUCAUUAAAAAUUUAAUAGUUCCUUCAAAUUUUCUAUUCAAAGCAAACUAAUAUUUGACUUUUAAAAAAAAAUUUAGAGUGAAAAUGAUAAAAUAAAAAUAUAUUAUAUAUUAAAUUUAUCAUUAUUUUUUAAAUUAAGUUCAAAGAUAUCAACUAAAACUUAUGUAAUGCAAAUCAUUUGUCACUAUACCAAUAGUGAUUUUAAUAUUUAACGAGGAAAUAGAUUGAAUGCUGAAUAUAUACAUUUGAAUUUAGCCUUUUUAAGUUGUUAUUUUAAUGAUAGAAACUUGUGAUGUUAUAAUAAAACAAUUUAAUAAAAAAUGGUUUGUUAGGUGUGUUCCUAUGUACUAAGAUAAUGAGCCUCCAACAGCACAGCGUUGCUUGUCCACAAAAUCUUUAUCCUCUUAUUUUAAAGCCAGACCACCCAAUCGCCUUUUUCUUUUUUAAUUUUUAUCCUAUCUUAACAUGAAUAUCUUAGCACUGGAAAUUAAGGAAGAACUGGAUUCAAGAAAUAUGGCAAGAAACUACCUUUUUAUUCAUUAGUUCUCAGCCGUUCCAUUGGAAAUCCAAAACAAAACAAAGAGAAAGACCCCAAGCCAAAUACCUCAAUUAAAAAAGAAAAAGAAAAAGGGGGGGUUUUGAGGGGCUUAAUUUAAGUACAACUUUGAAACAAAUGGAAUUCCUAGGAGGGAAGUAAACAACUUAGUAGCCUUUAGGCUUGUAGGCAAUGAAACUAAUGCACUGCACUUGACGAACGUUGUCGAACCCAAUGAUUCUAAUGAAUGCAUUGGGGUAUUCCUUCUUGCAAUUCUCAAGCUCCUCCAACACCUGAGCCGAGUCAGUGCACCCAAACAUGGGCAGUUUCCACAUGGUCCAGUAGCGUCCAUCGUAGUACGUGGGUAAGCUCGAGUACUUACGGUGCACGAAUCCCUCCUGCACAUACAUAUAAAACACAUUUAAUCAAAUCAAAUAUCCCACUAAAAAAAUAAAGUGUUGGAAAGGAAUAAUUUAGAGCUCGAAAACACCUCUAAUUCGAAUUCCAAGCAAGGAAUCCAUUUAGAGCGAAGAAGGUAAUCUACUUCCUUAGCCAACUGUACGGGUGUAAGAUCGGGGAGGUAUGAGAGUGUCUCGAACUUCUUCUUCCCAAGAGGAGGCCACACCUAUACUCAAAAGCCAAGAUAUAUAUUUGAUUCAAUUUAUGUAAUUUGUUGUGUUCAAACAAUUGGGGUAAUUUAAGUUGUAUUUAUGCAUCACCAAGUACCUGCAUGCAUUGCACUCUCCCACCAUUGCUUGCAAGAGAAGUGAUGUCGUUGUUGGCCUUCCUAGUGACUGGGAAAGCAGAGGCAGACUUGAGGCCGGUGAAGGGGGCCACCAUGUUGGCCUGUGCCGGGGAGGAGCAGUUCACGGUGGCAAUGGUUGCCGAUGAGAUCAUGGAGGAGGCCAUUGCUAUUACUGCUUACUAGUACUAUAUGCUACAGUUAUACAAAAGAGUCUCACUGAUCCCUUAAUA